Long non-coding RNA from Rosa chinensis, 312 nucleotides. RefSeq lists it as uncharacterized. The record is from RefSeq and is a predicted model, not a curated record. Lineage: Eukaryota; Viridiplantae; Streptophyta; Magnoliopsida; Rosales; Rosaceae. The transcript has 4 exons.
AAUUCGCAAGUAUAAACUGCAAGUAUGCUGCAUUACUUGGAGAUUAUAGUUUUGUUCUGAAGCAUAAACAACGCAGGUUGUUAAAGUGAAAUAAGCCAUCUCAAGGUCUGUUAGCAAGAAGAAAUAGGUGUCAAGUGCUGGGUAUGGUCGCAAUCUGAACUGUUCAAAGGUGCAAUCAUCCAUCUUUGGGGCUUCUAUCUCAACCUGGUCGUCUUCUUUACAUUUCAGCAUAUGCAGUGAAAAAUUCUAUGCAAACUCUGAAGGCAAGUGAUUGGCAUCUUGAAGGUGCUAGGAGCAUUUAAUAUAUUCUAC